This 286-nucleotide ribosomal RNA is filed under the name uncultured bacterium. RNAcentral's name for it is "partial 16S ribosomal RNA". It matches the Rfam family "Bacterial small subunit ribosomal RNA", at positions 796 to 1075 of the family's 1533-position model. The record is from RNAcentral.
CUAGCCGUAAACGAUGAGCACUUGAUCGAGGGCCCCCCCAUAGGCUCCCGGUCGUAGCGAAAGUGUUAAGUGCUCCGCCUGGGGAGUAUGGUCGCAAGGCUGAAACUCAAAGAAAUUGACGGGGGCUCACACAAGCGGUGGAGGAUGUGGCUUAAUUCGAGGCUACGCGAAAAACCUUAUCCUAGUCUUGACAUGCACGGAUCAACCCGGUGAAAGCCGGGCCACGCCUUCGGGUGGAACGUGCACAGGUGCUGCAUGGCUGUACUCAGCACGGGUCUUGAGAUUU